AUAAAUAACGGUCUAUCAACACCCCCCCCCCAAAAAAAGAGACAUUUAUCAGGAGGUAGUUUUUGCCUAAAGAGGUCGCCCACGGCCCCCUUCCUCCCACAGCCCCCACAGCCCCUCAUCUUCUUCAGGCUCCUCCCACGGCCCCCCAUCUUCUCCAGGCUCCUCCCACGCCCCCCCCACCUUCUCCAGGCUCCUUCCAAAGGCUCCUCCCACGGUCCUCCAGUUCCCACAGCUCCACCGCCGGCUGCUCCUACAGCUGCUCCCACCGUUCCAACCACGGGCUCUCCCACGGACUUUCCCACGGGCUUCUUCCAGGGGCUUCCCCCACGUGCGCUUUUCUCGGGCGUCUGCGUAUCGGACGGGGCGCGCGUCCCGCAGAGCACACUGGGAGCGGUAGUUCUGCGCGACAUUCCAUCGCGCAAGCGCUCUCUGCCGAGCCACCCUGCUCUUUGUCCUUCGCUGCCCGGAGGCGUGCUCGCAGGUCGCUGUCUCCUUGGGGCCUCGGUGGCCGGCGCUGGGCUGCGUAUUUCUGCCUCUGGUUGGGCGGCGCGACGAUGUUGGGGGAUCCGGGUGACGAGCCGGCUGAGGGGAGUCUGUCAGGGAGAUACCAGUUCUGUAUAUGGGACUGUGUCGCACCUGUGUCCUGAGUGUAGACAGAACAGAGAAGGCCUUUGCCUACUCCACCCCUCUGUCUUGUGAAUUCGAAGAAGCCUGGAACUGUAGGAUGAAAAUGCAAGUUGCCCCUCCCUUUCAAAGAUGCACGUGAGAGCUGCUAUCACAGGGAGCAAUGUAGUGCUCGCAGGAAACUGCCACGGUGAUAAAAUGAAGCCAAUGAAGUUAAAAUGAGCCACAUUCUGCAGUGAGGGGCUUUAGACUUCUUUUGCUGAGGGGGUAAGUGAGAACAGACUAUCAGAGAGUUAGUUCAGGGAUAACUCCUCCCUCAAGGUCCAACAUUGUAAAUAUUUGUUUCACUUAGUAAAGGCAGGUCUAGAGUCUACAGAGUAACAAAUGUCAGAUCCCUCUCCCCCCAGUACUGGGGGGAUUGAACCCAGAUCCUCAAGUGUUGAAUCUUUUUAUUUGUUAUUUUGAGACAGCAUAUUGCUGAGUUGUCCAGGCUGCCUCAACUUGUGAUCCUCUUGCUUCAGCCUCCUGAGUAGCUGGGAUUACAGGGGUGUGUGACCACACCUAGUUUUAGAAAUAUUUUAAAACUACCCAGAUUGCUUAUCACAUCCCUUUCACCUGAAAUUCUCAAUCUUUGAUAUUCUCUGCAUGAAAUCUAAC
Molecule: long non-coding RNA, 1281 nt
Filed under: Ictidomys tridecemlineatus (thirteen-lined ground squirrel)
Lineage: Eukaryota; Metazoa; Chordata; Mammalia; Rodentia; Sciuridae
Description: lncRNA (ENSSTOG00000033911.1)
Source: RNAcentral